RNAcentral lists this ribosomal RNA (484 nucleotides) under uncultured bacterium. RNAcentral's name for it is "partial 16S ribosomal RNA". It matches the Rfam family "Bacterial small subunit ribosomal RNA", at positions 38 to 507 of the family's 1533-position model. The record is from RNAcentral.
GGGGGGGGGGGGGGGGGGGGCGGGGGCGGGGGGGUCGAGCGGGGGGGGGGGGCGGGCUCCUGGAUUCAGCGGCGGACGGGGGAGGAAUGCCUGGGAAGCUGCCUGGGAGUGGGGGAUAACGUCCGGAAACGGGCGCUAAUACCGCAUACGUCCUGAGGGAGAAAGUGGGGGAUCUUCGGACCUCACGCUAUCAGAUGAGCCUAGGUCGGAUUAGCUAGUUGGUGGGGUAAAGGCCUACCAAGGCGACGAUCCGUAACUGGUCUGAGAGGAUGAUCAGUCACACUGGAACUGAGACACGGUCCAGACUCCUACGGGAGGCAGCAGUGGGGAAUAUUGGACAAUGGGCGAAAGCCUGAUCCAGCCAUGCCGCGUGUGUGAAGAAGGUCUUCGGAUUGUAAAGCACUUUAAGUUGGGAGGAAGGGCAGUAAGUUAAUACCUUGCUGUUUUGACGUUACCAACAGAAUAAGCACCGGCUAACUUCGUG